AUGGCCGCCGCCGUCGCCGGUUCCUCCGCCGCAUCCCUCCCGGCCCCAAUCCCCCUCAACGACAAGGCGGCGGCCGUGGGCGGCGGGGUCGGCGGCGACCGGGCUGCGGGGGGCUGCGGGGUGUGCGCGAUCUGCCUCGACAGGAUCCCGCUCCAGGAGACGGCGCUCGUCAAGGGCUGCGACCACGCCUACUGCGUCACUUGCAUUCUGAGGUGGGCAUCCUACAAGCAGACACCAGUAUGCCCUCAAUGCAAGCACCCGUUUGAGUUCCUCAGUGUGCAUCGCUCUCUUGAUGGCUGCCUUCAUGACUACAUGUUCGAUGAGAGCGUUUGUCUUCUUCUGAGAGCCACUUGGUUUAAGCCUCUGGUCGUAGAGGCUCACGAGGAGGCUCAGGAGGAAGAAGACAUUUACCGUAGUUACCAAUAUGAUGAUGGCGAUGAGGAUGACCUUUAUGAGGAAUACAUAAGCAGGUCACCGAGCAUUCGAAUUGGUAACAGGAGGUGGGGUGACAAUGGGUACGUCAGAGGGGGCAGGAGGGAGGCCAGGCCAGUAGUGAUCCCUCCUGUUGUUGAUGCUGUUCCAUCCAGGACUCCCAAGAAGAAAGAGGGAUCAGCGUCAGGUUCAGGGUCAGGUUCAGUGUCCAAGGAUGUUGCAGGGCGGCGGGCAAGAAGGGCUCAGAAGCGAGAGGCUGCCGACAAGGCGGCUGCAGAGAAGCACCUCAAGCUCCUGCAGAGGCUGGGCCGCGGGAAAACUCCCGAAGCGCCACCUGAAGCACUGGAAUCACUGGAGGUUGGUCCUCCUGUGAUCGAGUGA
This 813-nucleotide ribosomal RNA is filed under the name Triticum aestivum (bread wheat). Its description in RNAcentral is "partial small subunit ribosomal RNA". Lineage: Eukaryota; Viridiplantae; Streptophyta; Magnoliopsida; Poales; Poaceae. The record is from RNAcentral.